This 696-nucleotide ribosomal RNA is filed under the name Salmonella enterica subsp. enterica serovar Kentucky. Its description in RNAcentral is "partial 23S ribosomal RNA". It matches the Rfam family "Bacterial large subunit ribosomal RNA", at positions 2226 to 2915 of the family's 2925-position model. Lineage: Bacteria; Pseudomonadati; Pseudomonadota; Gammaproteobacteria; Enterobacterales; Enterobacteriaceae. The record is from RNAcentral.
CGUGGACCCGUAAUCCGGGUUGCGGACAGUGUCUGGUGGGUAGUUUGACUGGGGCGGUCUCCUCCUAAAGAGUAACGGAGGAGCACGAAGGUUGGCUAAUCCUGGUCGGACAUCAGGAGGUUAGUGCAAUGGCAUAAGCCAGCUUGACUGCGAGCGUGACGGCGCGAGCAGGUGCGAAAGCAGGUCAUAGUGAUCCGGUGGUUCUGAAUGGAAGGGCCAUCGCUCAACGGAUAAAAGGUACUCCGGGGAUAACAGGCUGAUACCGCCCAAGAGUUCAUAUCGACGGCGGUGUUUGGCACCUCGAUGUCGGCUCAUCACAUCCUGGGGCUGAAGUAGGUCCCAAGGGUAUGGCUGUUCGCCAUUUAAAGUGGUACGCGAGCUGGGUUUAGAACGUCGUGAGACAGUUCGGUCCCUAUCUGCCGUGGGCGCUGGAGAACUGAGGGGGGCUGCUCCUAGUACGAGAGGACCGGAGUGGACGCAUCACUGGUGUUCGGGUUGUCAUGCCAAUGGCACUGCCCGGUAGCUAAAUGCGGAAGAGAUAAGUGCUGAAAGCAUCUAAGCACGAAACUUGCCCCGAGAUGAGUUCUCCCUGAGACUUAGAGUCUCCUGAAGGAACGUUGAAGACGACGACGUUGAUAGGCCGGGUGUGUAAGCGCAGCGAUGCGUUGAGCUAACCGGUACUAAUGAACCGUGAGG